Molecule: small nuclear RNA, 105 nt
Organism: Phyllostomus discolor (pale spear-nosed bat)
Lineage: Eukaryota; Metazoa; Chordata; Mammalia; Chiroptera; Phyllostomidae
Source: RefSeq, a predicted model, not a curated record
GUGCUCGCUUCGGCAGCACAUAGACUAAAAUUGGAACGACAGAGCAGAUUAGCAUGGACCUUGCACAAGGAUGAUACACAAACUUAUGAAAAGGGAAAAAAAAAU